UUUCAGGAUACUUUUCCCCAGACGUAUGCAAAAGCUUAUCUUUCCAUUGUCAGAAUAACGUAAUAUAAGGAAGUAAUAAAUCUUAUAGUCUGUACUGUAUUUGCAUAUACCAUGGCUAAUGUAAGCAAACUAUGUAUAAAAGCCAGCUCUGGAAUACACUCAUUUGAGAGUCUUGUCAACCAUCCUGUUGUCCGUGUCUUAUUGUUGACAAUGAUUCUCCAUCAACAUUGAUUAUGGUGACCGAGGGAUCGAGAACCGAGGGGAUUAGAGUCCAUUACAGCAUUAACCCUUUCACAUGCUUACACGGUUACAUCUCUGGUGCAGUUGGCC
Molecule: non-coding RNA, 330 nt
Organism: Pelobates cultripes (western spadefoot toad)
Lineage: Eukaryota; Metazoa; Chordata; Amphibia; Anura; Pelobatidae
Source: the annotation of a GenBank genome assembly